RNAcentral lists this ribosomal RNA (424 nucleotides) under uncultured bacterium. RNAcentral describes it as "partial 16S ribosomal RNA". It matches the Rfam family "Bacterial small subunit ribosomal RNA", at positions 360 to 776 of the family's 1533-position model. The record is from RNAcentral.
AAUAUUGGACAAUGGGCGAAAGCCUGAUCCAGCCAUGCCGCUUGUGUGAAGAAGGUCUUCGGAUUAAAAAGCACUUUAAGUUGGGAAGAAUGGAAGUAAGUUACUACCUUGCUGUUUUGACGUUAGCGACAGAAUAAGCACAGGCUAACUUCGUGCUAGACUCCGCGGUAAUACGAAGGGUGCAAUCGUUAAUCGGAAUUACUGGGCGUAAAGCGCGCGUAGGUGGUUCGUUAAGUUGGAAGUGAAAGCCCCGGGCUUAACCUGGGAAUUGCUUUCAAAACUGACGAGCUAGAGUACGGUAGAGGGUAGUGGAAUUUCCUGUGUAGCGGUGAAAUGCGUAGAUAUAGGAAGGAACAUCAGUGGCGAAGGCGACUACCUGGACUGAUACUGACACUGAGGUGCGAAAGCGUGGGGAGCAAACAGG